RNAcentral lists this ribosomal RNA (468 nucleotides) under uncultured bacterium. RNAcentral describes it as "partial 16S ribosomal RNA". It matches the Rfam family "Bacterial small subunit ribosomal RNA", at positions 28 to 507 of the family's 1533-position model. The record is from RNAcentral.
GACGAACGCCGGCGGCGUGCUUAACACAUGCAAGUCGAACGGAAAGGCCCUGCUUUUGUGGGGUGCUCGAGUGGCGAACGGGUGAGUAACACGUGAGUAACCUGCCCUUGACUUUGGGAUAACUUCAGGAAACUGGGGCUAAUACCGGAUAGGAGCUCCUGCUGCAUGGUGGGGGUUGGAAAGUUUCGGCGGUUGGGGAUGGACUCGCGGCUUAUCAGCUUGUUGGUGGGGUAGUGGCUUACCAAGGCUUUGACGGGUAGCCGGCCUGAGAGGGUGACCGGCCACAUUGGGACUGAGAUACGGCCCAGACUCCUACGGGAGGCAGCAGUGGGGAAUAUUGCACAAUGGGGGGAAGCCUGAUGCAGCAACGCCGCGUGCGGGAUGACGGCCUUCGGGUUGUAAACCGCUUUCGCCUGUGACGAAGCGUGAGUGACGGUAAUGGGUAAAGAAGCACCGGCUAACUACGUG